Long non-coding RNA from Eurytemora carolleeae, 173 nucleotides. RefSeq lists it as uncharacterized. The record is from RefSeq and is a predicted model, not a curated record. NCBI's taxonomy places the organism in Eukaryota, Metazoa, Arthropoda, Copepoda, Calanoida, Temoridae. The transcript is spliced from 2 exons.
UAGUUGGUUCUCUUCCUUCCCGCUCUCUGCAGGAAGAUGGGAGUCCCAUACUGCAUUGUCAAAAACAAGGCCAGGCUUGGACGCGUAGCCAGGAGGAAGACCUGCACGGCUCUUGCUAUCACCAAUGUUGAGUCUGCUGAUAGAGGAACCCUCAGCAAGCUCGUCGAGACGGU